Mauremys reevesii (Reeves's turtle) is the source of this 511-nucleotide long non-coding RNA. RefSeq lists it as uncharacterized. The record is from RefSeq and is a predicted model, not a curated record. The transcript is spliced from 3 exons. Lineage: Eukaryota; Metazoa; Chordata; Testudines; Geoemydidae.
ACUGUACUGAUGGCCUGUACUGAAGAAGAAAGACUAGCCUGCUGAGAUGUGCUCCUAACUGCUAGGAAUAACUAAAUCUUCAGGGAACUGUGUGGUGGUGUUUUUUAAAGUGAUAGAGGAGGUGGUGUUGGAUCCAUUGGUGUCCUCAUCCUUCAAUUCAUGAUGAUGAUGAUGAUAAACUAAAAAAUUACAAGGGAGAGUGUUAGGACAUGAAGGCUUUAUCUUUCAUAGUUCUAGAAGCUAAAUUAUGCAACAGAUAUAUUUUCUCAUCUCUAGAGAGGAUGGAAUUUGUCCCUUUCUGUGUAUACUGCAUACCCAAACCAGACAAAUGCAGAGUGCAACUCAAAGGGAUUGAACAGCGGGGAGAACAGGGUGCUCUAGGAUUGAAUUUCAGAACUGCAUUGACUUCAACAAGAGCUGAAGGCAUAAUCCUCCUCCUGGAAAUCGGAUCAUAAGUGCCUGCAAAUCUCUUAUAAGGAACUAAUUGUUGUAAUUUGCUAUCAUGAAUAAA